GUGAGUAACGCGUGGGUAACCUGCCCUAUGCAGGGGGAUAACACAGCGAAAGCUGUGCUAAAACCGCAUAAAGCUUAAGAAUCGCAUGAUUUUUGAGUCAAAGAUUUAUCGGCAUAGGAUGGGCCCGCGUCUGAUUAGCUAGUUGGUGGGGUAAAGGCUCACCAAGGCGACGAUCAGUAGCCGACCUGAGAGGGUGAUCGGCCACACUGGAACUGAGACACGGUCCAGACUCCUACGGGAGGCAGCAGUGGGGAAUAUUGCACAAUGGGGGAAACCCUGAUGCAGCAACGCCGCGUGAGUGAAGAAGGCCUUCGGGUCGUAAAGCUCUGUCCUAAGGGAAGAAUAAAUGACGGUACCUUAGGAGGAAGCCCCGGCUAACUACGUGCCAGCAGCCGCGGUAAUACGUAGGGGGCAAGCGUUAUCCGGAAUCAUUGGGCGUAAAGGGUGCGUAGGCGGUCAAUAAAGUCAGGGGUGAAAGGCUACGGCUCAACCGUAGUAAGCCCUUGAAACUUAGUGACUUGAGUGCAGGAGAGGUAAGUGGAAUUCCUAGUGUAGCGGUGAAAUGCGUAGAUAUUAGGAGGAACACCAGUGGCGAAGGCGACUUACUGGACUGUAACUGACGCUGAGGCACGAAAGCGUGGGGAGCGAACAGGAUUAGAUACCCU
Molecule: ribosomal RNA, 665 nt
Filed under: uncultured bacterium
Lineage: Bacteria
Description: bacterial SSU rRNA
Rfam family: Bacterial small subunit ribosomal RNA
Source: RNAcentral